This 405-nucleotide ribosomal RNA is filed under the name uncultured bacterium. RNAcentral describes it as "partial 16S ribosomal RNA". It matches the Rfam family "Bacterial small subunit ribosomal RNA", at positions 28 to 526 of the family's 1533-position model. The record is from RNAcentral.
GACGAACGCUGGCGGCGUGCUUAACACAUGCAAGUCGAACAGUGGCGAACGGGUGAGUAAUGCGUAAGAACUUGCCUCACAGUUAGGGACAACAUUUGGAAACGAAUGCUAAUACCUAAUACUGUGAGAGAGCUUUGCGUCCCAUUAGCUAGUUGGAGAGGUAACGGCUCACCAAGGCGAUGAUGGGUAGCCGGCCUGAGAGGGUGAUCGGCCACAAGGGGACUGAGAUACGGCCCAGACUCCUACGGGAGGCAGCAGUGGGGAAUUUUGGACAAUGGGCGCAAGCCUGAUCCAGCCAUGCCGCGUGUCUGAAGAAGGCCUUCGGGUUGUAAAGGACUUUUGUUAGGGAAGCGGUACCUAAAGAAUAAGCACCGGCUAACUACGUGCCAGCAGCCGCGGUAAUAC